This 397-nucleotide unclassified non-coding RNA is filed under the name Panicum mosaic satellite virus. The record is from RNAcentral. Lineage: Riboviria; Tombendovirales; Pamosaviridae.
GGGUAUUCCACGCUAGCAACUAGUCUCACAAGGGAUACUCCUGAUGGCUCCUUAGCGUUCCAGGUGCGCCCCCAGCAACGUCAUUGUUAAGGGUUGCUUUAGGCUGGCGCCUAGCGAGCUUCAGUCUUCAUAAAGUAUCCCCCUCUUAUGGGGUGUCGCCGUACACACCGUUAGUCCCGCGCCUCUACCGGCUGUCGGACUCCUACCAUGCCCUCCGGUGGAUGUUGAGGAAGUGGGGGAAUCAGGAGGCUACGAAGCCGUCGCAGCAAAGGCGACCGUGUGUACAACCAACCCGGCCAGAAAUAUACCCCGAAAGGGGGGGUCCUGCGGCUGGGUCCCCUUUCCAAUGGCAAUGCCAUUUUCCUGGGGGGAGAUGCGUCUCCCCCUCCUAGGACCC